Molecule: unclassified non-coding RNA, 319 nt
Filed under: Hevea brasiliensis (rubber tree)
Lineage: Eukaryota; Viridiplantae; Streptophyta; Magnoliopsida; Malpighiales; Euphorbiaceae
Source: RNAcentral
AGGUACUUCAAUCAGUUUAUUAUUAGCAACCUUCAGUGACAGUAAGGUGUUAAGAUGAGUUAUCUCAACAGGUAAAUUCUUUAUCUUAUUGAAUGAAAGAUCAAGGCACUCCAAUUUAGUGAGGCAGGCUAUUUCAGGAGGUAAAUAUCUGAUAGAGAAAUGACAGACAGAGAGCUUAGUCAGGCGCUUAAGACCAGCAAUAUCUCUUAAAAGUGGGAAAGCUGAAGGUCUAGAGGGAACUUUACAUAGCUCCAAUUCUUUCAAAUUCUUCAACUUCUGCAAAUCCAGUCCACUCAUCCCAGGAAAUGAUACCUUCACU